Molecule: long non-coding RNA, 535 nt
Organism: Onychomys torridus (southern grasshopper mouse)
Lineage: Eukaryota; Metazoa; Chordata; Mammalia; Rodentia; Cricetidae
Exons: 3
Source: RefSeq, a predicted model, not a curated record
CUCGCCCGGUGCAGCCCUGGCCGCCGGGCGCACCCGUCCCGUUCGUCCCCGGACGUUGCUCUCUGCCCCGGGAACGUCGAGACUGGAGCGCCCGAACUGAGCCACCUUCGCGAACCCGGAGCGCGGCGGCCCGACUCACCGCGGAAGCGCCCGGACGCGUAAAGACCAGUCACAUCUGAUCAUCACUCCUUCCUCAUGUGGGACACCUGAGAAAGUAGCUGUCAGCCUUCCUGGGCAGCUGCUGGUGUGUGGGAAUGGGCUAUACUCCACACCUCAGGAUUCCAGAGCACUGGAUGAAGCACCCAGGCCUUUUGACUCCUAUGGCCUCCUGUACAGGGGAGCCCAGCCUUCCUGCCUGGACUGUCCUCAACGGAGCACAUGCUCUCUACUCGGCCUGUUCUUCCUCAGUGGCCAGCAGCCUACACAGCAGAUGAAGUUCUGUGUCUGCCUGGCAGAGCUGCCCCUCCCAGGCUGGCUCAGCUGGGAUCCCCUGGAAUGACUGCUGAGAGGUGCCCAAUAAAGUUUUGUGCCAUGA